RNAcentral lists this transfer RNA (77 nucleotides) under Camelus dromedarius (Arabian camel). It matches the Rfam family "tRNA". Rfam says of the family: Transfer RNA (tRNA) molecules are approximately 80 nucleotides in length. Their secondary structure includes four short double-helical elements and three loops (D, anti-codon, and T loops). Further hydrogen bonds mediate the characteristic L-shaped molecular structure. tRNAs have two regions of fundamental functional importance: the anti-codon, which is responsible for specific mRNA codon recognition, and the 3' end, to which the tRNAs corresponding amino acid is attached (by aminoacyl-tRNA synthetases). tRNAs cope with the degeneracy of the genetic code in two manners: having more than one tRNA (with a specific anti-codon) for a particular amino acid; and 'wobble' base-pairing, i.e. permitting non-standard base-pairing at the 3rd anti-codon position. The record is from Rfam by way of RNAcentral. Lineage: Eukaryota; Metazoa; Chordata; Mammalia; Artiodactyla; Camelidae. RNAcentral also lists the same sequence under 2 other names.
GAAGGUAUAGCUCAAAUAGUAGAGCAUAUGCUUAUUUAGCAUGCACAAAGUCCUGGGUUCAAUCCUCAGUGCCACCA